GUCUACAGCCAUACCACCCUGAAUGCGCUCAAUCUCGUCUGAUCUCGGAAGCUAAGCAGGGUCGGGCCUGGUUAGUACU
This 79-nucleotide ribosomal RNA is filed under the name Ochotona princeps (American pika). The record is from RNAcentral. Lineage: Eukaryota; Metazoa; Chordata; Mammalia; Lagomorpha; Ochotonidae.